GAUGAAGAACGCAGCGAAAUGCGAUAAGUAAUGUGAAUUGCAGAAUUCAGUGAAUCAUCGAAUCUUUGAACGCACAUUGCGCCCCUCGGCACUCCGGGGGGCAUGCCUGUCCGAGCGUCAUUGCACCCCUCGAGCCCCCCGUGGCUUGGUCGUGAGCCGCGCCCGCGCCAGCCCCGUCCCCCCCCGUGCGGCGGGGGGCAGGGGCGCCGGGCGGGCUCGAAACGCAGUGGCGGCCCCCGGGCGACUUCCAGCGCGAUGACAUGUUUCGCUGCCGAAGCCUUCGCCCCGGGCGCCCGCCAGGCAACCCCCGUGCUUCUUACGCGGUUGACCUCGGAUCAGGCAGGGAUACCCGCUGAACUUAAGCAUAUCAAUAAGCGGAGGA
This 382-nucleotide unclassified non-coding RNA is filed under the name soil metagenome. RNAcentral's name for it is "partial contains 5.8S ribosomal RNA, internal transcribed spacer 2, and large subunit ribosomal RNA". The stretch from base 1 to 120 matches the Rfam family "5.8S ribosomal RNA", at positions 35 to 154 of the family's 154-position model. The record is from RNAcentral.